RNAcentral lists this ribosomal RNA (448 nucleotides) under uncultured bacterium. RNAcentral describes it as "bacterial SSU rRNA". It matches the Rfam family "Bacterial small subunit ribosomal RNA", at positions 329 to 793 of the family's 1533-position model. The record is from RNAcentral.
UCCCAGACUCCUACGGGAGGCAGCAGUGGGGAAUAUUGCACAAUGGGGGAAACCCUGAUGCAGCGACGCCGCGUGAGUGAAGAAGUAUUUCGGUAUGUAAAGCUCUAUCAGCAGGGAAGAAAAUGACAGUACCUGACCAAGAAGCCCCGGCUAACUACGUGCCAGCAGCCGCGGUAAUACGUAGGGGGCAAGCGUUAUCCGGAUUUACUGGGUGUAAAGGGAGCGUAGACGGUUAUGUAAGUCUGGAGUGAAAGCCCGGGGCCCAACCCCGGGACUGCUUUGGAAACUGUGUAACUGGAGUACAGGAGGGGCAGGCGGAAUUCCUGGUGUAGCGGUGAAAUGCGUAGAUAUCAGGAGGAACACCGGUGGCGAAGGCGGCUUACUGGACAUUAACUGACGCUGAGGCACGAAGGCCAGGGGAGCGAAAGGGAUUAGAUACCCGGGUACG